GUGUGCGACUUGUGUGAGCGCACUGGAGCUUCAAAGUUACAUAAAAUUAAGUUAUCAAUUACACAGAACAACGUUAUGUGUAAUCGGGGGUUGUUCUUUUGAAAUCUGUCGUUUUUGAUAACUUCCUUUAUUGUGAGGUUCAGUCCGCCCACACUAGUCACCGCUCAACUCCAUCUUAAAUAGCGGAGUUGGAGUUUAAUCGGCUACAUCUAAAUAAAUAGAUUCUCAAUUGCUGAAAAAUUCUGUAAAGAUAGCUAAAGCGCUCUACAUUUAUAUCACCUCUAAAUAAUUUCACAAAUGCAAAAUGUACACUUACUGUACGCUAUUUUAACAGUUUUUUACACACUUGGAUGCGACUGUAUUUUUCAGUGACAACACGUUCUAACAUUACCUACAUUUACACUCAGACUCGGAUAGCUAUUUGGCACAGGACACACAGAGGUCCUCGUGUUGGAGGAGGAGAAGGCCAACUUCUCAGGAGACUGUAUUCUGGGGAGGGAACUGCCGUGUUUGAAGAUCUCUAUGACUAUGUGAAAUCUCUGCAAAUCCUGUUGGACUCACAGGCUGACCUAAUAUAACCAACUCUGAAACACUGAAUGGUAUAAUUGAAUGAAAAGUGCUCAAAAAAGGCCAUAGCCCUGUGGUCCAAGAUGUAGCUUCUAAGAUCCAGCAUUACAUCAGCCAUAGAAACCUCAGAGAGCAACAGUUCCUCACUGUUCUCCAGGCAGCCUUAAGGAAACACAUGGACUUCUAUGGAACUGCUCAAAGUCGUCUACAAGGUGUGGGAAUUGUAACUUAAAGUUACGAUCCUCUGUUGGUAACCGUAAGAUUGAUAUACAGUAUGUGUAGAUGCUGACCCAAGAAUGUUAAGUCAUUCAAAACAUACUAACACUGCUUUGCCUAUAGAAAUGAACAUUUACAAAUCUGUGGAAUCUUGUGCUAUACUCUACUUUGUAUCUCACUUUAACAUUUAAGAGACACCUGAACGUCUUCAUAACGCAACAAAGGUGAACCUUGUGCAGCACCUUAAGAAAUUUGAGAAGGGUGGGAAGAUAACUGUUGGUUUGUCUUCAUUUCUUUCAAUUAAAUUGUCAUCUUAUGUUACACUAUUUGCUUAAUGUACCGUAAUACUAUGUUCUAGAUGUUUUUAUUUUGUCUCCAAUUUUCUUUCAGCCAGUGAUGAAUCUUCUCACACAAAUAAAUUGAAGAGUAGUUUAUGAUCCACACUUUAAUUCGACAAAGGACACUUGAGAUCUUGGAUUUCCCUGUGCAACGCACAAAUGAGCUUGGUUUGGUGUGAUAUGAAGAGUAUUUUGCAAGAAUAUGAAGUUAUUCUUCAUAUCAAUGAAAUGAUCGUGUCCGUACUGUCUGAAUACAGCCAAAGGAGAAAGUUGAAAUGUGAAAGAAGAAUAUAGCUGGCCCAGCACAUACAUUUAGUACAGUACCAAUGUACUGGUGGCCACCUUUCAUACAUUUUUAACAUGCCGACUUUGGACAUUUGAUAACAUCAUCUGAACUCAAAAUAAACACAUAUAAAUUGAAACCCUGUGCAAAGAGUUCAUUUCAACCAAGAUCACACUGAUUUUCCAAUUGAAACACCAAGAUCAAACUAUAUGAAUCCAUAAUGCAAAAUGUAUUGAUGCCUAAUAAAUUAUAGUUUUUCAAAAUAGAAUUAACGCUACUGAACGUUCUAAUUUCAUAAUUCAUUGCCUUUUGCUGAUUGUGCAAUUUAAACAUUGUAUGGGGC
Oncorhynchus kisutch (coho salmon) is the source of this 1747-nucleotide long non-coding RNA. RefSeq lists it as uncharacterized. NCBI's taxonomy places the organism in Eukaryota, Metazoa, Chordata, Actinopteri, Salmoniformes, Salmonidae. The transcript is spliced from 3 exons. The record is from RefSeq and is a predicted model, not a curated record.